Molecule: non-coding RNA, 3044 nt
Organism: Taeniopygia guttata (zebra finch)
Lineage: Eukaryota; Metazoa; Chordata; Aves; Passeriformes; Estrildidae
Source: RefSeq, a predicted model, not a curated record
GGUCUGUGGCUCGGUCCCGCCCGGGAGCGCCGCCCCGGUUCAGCUCGAGGUGCGCUGCGGGCGCUGAGUCAGUUACUCCAGGACCAGAGACAUCAAGGACUGAGAAAUUUGAGAAUAUGGGUCAUUGUGAUUAUUUUUUGUCUCACCAGGCCCCAUCAUGCCACAGGUAAUGUUAAAGAAUUUCUCUGGGCUGUGACUUUGGUUUUGGUCUUGCUUUUCACUCCCUACUCAAAGCCUGUGGUUAAUCAAAGAAAAGUACACACAUACCUUCUUGGGAGGCAAUUCUGCCUAUAUGACACAUUUAGUGCUGAGAAAAAAAAAACAAACAAACUAUCAUUGCCAUUUUUUAGUACUGUAAUUGCUAUGUUUACUCAUGGUGUUGACUGAAAUUCCACUGAAUUUUACUUGCAUAUGGGGCUUCUCAUGUUGGGUCUAAUUCUGCUGUUCUAUCAAACUUGCAGUUUAUGCCAAGCCCUGCCCUUGCUGUCUGUUCAUAGGAGUUUUGUCACAUACCUGUAUUUAUUACCGCCUUCUUUUUCUUGGUUACCCUCCAUUUCCUCAUUAUUUCCCGUCUGUUGAUUUUUCUAUCUUCACUUCUAAAAAAAAAAAAAAAAAACCAUAAUCCACUCUCUUAAAACUUGGUGUAAUUUCUCUAUUUCCCAUAUCCUAUGCCUGUCUUGUCUAAGUUGAUUGUAAGCAUCUCAAGUCACAGACUGCCUUAUCUAUACCAAAUACCACGUUAUAGGAAACUUUUGUUUGAGUUAGUCUUUAUGCACAGCAUAAGUAAAUACAUUUUAUUAAUAAUAAUAACAACUAUGCAAUUAAUCCCAUAUAUUUUAAUCAUGGGACUGAAUGUAAUAGCUCAAAAGAAGUAUGGCAAAAAGGAUUCUUUAUGCUACAUGGAAUUAAGGUGAAUAGAAGAUGUCUUUAAGUAGUCAUGACAAUAUAUCUUUAAAAAUGCCUUAUUUAACCAAUUGCCUCUUUUAAUUUGUUAGAUAAAAGAUUUUUAUUGGUUUAUUCAUACAUUCUUCACUGUGGUAGGAUCACAGUGACUACUUAUCUCUGAGCUUGGUGGCCUCAGGGAUAAUCCAAGGAAGCAUUAUGUUAAACAUUGUCUAGAACAAUGAAGCAGCAAACACAUGCAAGUGUUUCUGCUCCAAAGUUUAGGUGAAAGCCUGAUAUCUAUAUGCAGUAUUUAUAUAGGAUGUCUUUAUAUAGAUGAGAAGGAAAUUAGUUGUCAGCUCCAACCUCUACAUGUGUUCAACAGGAGCUCAUCCUGAGCAACAAGGUGGGAUAAAGCAGGAAGGUGUUUAUCUGCAAGGGCAGUAGAGGGAUUCAGUUGUAGCCUGUCAGGAAACAGGAGAUUUCUUCACCGAGAAACAAAAGGAGCAUGGGGAUGUUGAGCUGUGAGAAUGGAGGGAAGGGAGAGGAGUGAAGGACAGUGCUCACCAGUGCUCCUGCAGAAAAAUGAAAGAAACACAAGGGAAGAAGGGGCUGACAAGCCAAGAUGAAACAGUGACUGCAGAACUGCAGAAGUGAAAAGUGAGAAAAACCGCAAAAACUAAGCUGAGACAUGAGCUAGAUAUGCUAAAUGUGACUGAAGGGCCAACAAGAGAUUGGUUUAAGAUGGACAGAGAAACUUUCAGAUAAGAGGAAGCAAAACCAAGUUUGAAGGGGAUUUAGGGUAGAUCCCAACAAGAGACAAAGAGACGUGACUGGAAGAACCUGUGAGGUGAAAAGAGGCACUUAUUCCAAAGGCACUUUUUUUUUUUUUUUUUUUUUUAAAUGGUCAAAGAGACAAACCAAUCUCUGUGGGUGCUAGGAAUCAGAGCAGACUAAGUGACUAAAGCUGUGAACAAACGAAGGAGCGAGUGUUGGGAAGAUCAGGAAACAAAAUGGGGUGAAGUUAUCAGGGCAAGUGAUGGAGUUACAGAAGACAUGUUGAUAAGCUUUUUGUUACUGCCACUUAGAGACUUGUAGACAGAGGAAGCAUGAAGAGAAUAUUUUAUCACUUUUAUCUUUACAGAAAAUGGUGAGAUAACAAGUAGAGGAAAACAGACAGGAAGGCUUGACAAGGGUUAAGCAGCAGCAAUGAAAAGCUGACUGGGAUUACAAGCAUUCAGAUGAGCUGCAGAAGGAGAAUUGUUUAGUUGUGAGAAGGCAGAAAUGGAGGAGAGAGCAGGCAUGUGGGAGAGGAAGUUGCCUUGAUCACAGGAUUUCCGUCACUCUGCACUGCAAGAGCACGCAUGGGUGGAGCAAGCAGUGAAGCACAUCCCUGGCCUACAGAAGUUACAGAAGAUGCUUCAGACCAGCAUUUUAGUUAUUGGAAAUAUUAUUUCAAGCUCUGUAAAAACAAUAAACACAAUGAUAAUAACACAUUGUUUUAAGGUCAGGUUUAUGCAAUCCAAGGCUUUAGAAUAAACCUUUGAGAUUCUACUACUGUUGAACGGCUUUAGGGAGCACAUAAUGUUAUUUUCUCUUAACGUGUGGGGCCACUUUAAAUUUGUGCUUCUGCAUUAUUAAACCAUCGUGGGAAGUGCAGCAGGAGGAAACCCGGGCAAUUGGCUGCAGCUCCAGAUGCAGCCGCUUGCUCAUUGGAGAGAGGAGGAUUCUCCCCGCACUAAAAUUAGACCAUCUCCGCCCUCCAGAAAUGCUUCUGGAAACAGCGAGCGCAGGAAUUGUGCCACAGCCCGAGGAGCUGCGGUGGCAGGGAGCUGUGCAGGGCCCUGCUCCCAAACUGCAGCCUCGGGCUGCACUGCAAGGUGCUUUGGGGGGCUGGAAAAAAAAUGCACACAAUAAACUGCAAGAGAUUCAUGUUAACAGUGAAACACGGAUAUUAAAUUCAACAUUACUUAUGUAAUAAUAAUUCUGAAGUGUUCAUGCGGGCAGAGGAACCCUUUGAACUGCUAAAUUUAAGCAAGGGCUGUCAGACUUGUGCUCAUUGACUUUGAAAAGAUAUGACUUCCUGAAUUAACUCUGAACUAAAAAACUGGUGGACUCUUUCUAUCAGCAUUUCUUAAAAAAUAAAACAUGUUUAUCCAUUA